GUUCGAAUAGUGUAGUGGUUAUCACGCGUUGCUCACAUCUUUGAGCCUUUGAUCCGACGAGGUCCCCGGUUCGAUCCCGGGUUCGAACA
Molecule: non-coding RNA, 89 nt
Organism: Fonsecaea pedrosoi CBS 271.37
Lineage: Eukaryota; Fungi; Ascomycota; Eurotiomycetes; Chaetothyriales; Herpotrichiellaceae
Source: the annotation of a RefSeq genome assembly